AUUGAACGCUGGCGGCAUGCCUUACACAUGCAAGUCGAACGGCAGCACGGGAGCAAUCCUGGUGGCGAGUGGCGAACGGGUGAGUAAAGUAUCGGAACGUGCCCAGUCGUGGGGGAUAACGUAGCGAAAGUUACGCUAAUACCGCAUACGAUCUAUGGAUGAAAGCGGGGGAUCGCAAGACCUCGCGCGAUUGGAGCGGCUGAUAUCAGAUUAGGUAGGUGGUGGGGUAAAGGCUCACCAAGCCGACGAUCUGUAGCUGGUCUGAGAGGACGACCAGCCACACUGGGACUGAGACACGGCCCAGACUCCUACGGGAGGCAGCAGUGGGGAAUUUUGGACAAUGGGCGAAAGCCUGAUCCAGCCAUGCCGCGUGCAGGAUGAAGGCCUUCGGGUUGUAAACUGCUUUUGUACGGAACGAAAAGGUUUGGCCUAAUAAGCUGAGCUCAUGACGGUACCGUAAGAAUAAGCACCGGCUAACUACGUGCCAGCCGCCGCGGUAA
This 500-nucleotide ribosomal RNA is filed under the name uncultured bacterium. RNAcentral describes it as "partial 16S ribosomal RNA". It matches the Rfam family "Bacterial small subunit ribosomal RNA", at positions 30 to 523 of the family's 1533-position model. The record is from RNAcentral.